RNAcentral lists this unclassified non-coding RNA (401 nucleotides) under Hevea brasiliensis (rubber tree). The record is from RNAcentral. Lineage: Eukaryota; Viridiplantae; Streptophyta; Magnoliopsida; Malpighiales; Euphorbiaceae.
GUACUUCAAUGCCAGCUUUCUAUACGCUCUCUUGAUCUGUUCAUCGGAUGCACUCCUCGGCACUUGCAAUACAUCGUAAUAGCUCUUCCCUGCAAUGGCUGUUAGGGCGAAGGAAAGAGCGCAUAAUAGAAACAGAAGCUUUGCUCUUCGAAGCGCCAUUGAAGAUUUAAAUCGGGAGAGUUUGAUCUCUCCAAAUCUGAAAACCUAAAUAAUUAUUAGAUCUUUGUACACCUUCUCUAAUUAAAGUUUUCGAGUUUAUAAAUGAAACCGACUCUCUCUCUCUCUCUGGCGCGCGCGCUCUUGUUCUUGGCUUUGUAAUUUCUGGGAUGGUAAACACCUUGAAAGCGGAUGGCAGGGUUAAGCACCAAAACGGAAGGCACCGAUGACUUGACCAACUUCAG